This 499-nucleotide ribosomal RNA is filed under the name Algyroides nigropunctatus. RNAcentral describes it as "partial 16S ribosomal RNA". It matches the Rfam family "Bacterial large subunit ribosomal RNA", at positions 1851 to 2598 of the family's 2925-position model. The record is from RNAcentral. Lineage: Eukaryota; Metazoa; Chordata; Lepidosauria; Squamata; Lacertidae.
GGUACCGCCUGCCCAGUGACUCUUUUAACGGCCGCGGUAUCCUAACCGUGCAAAGGUAGCAUAAUCACUUGUCCCUUAAAUAGGGACUAGAAUGAACGGCUAAAUGAGGAUUAGACUGUCUCUUGCAGGUUGACCAGUGAAAUUGAUUUUCUAGUCCAAAAGCUGGAAUAAACUCAUAAGACGAAAAGACCCUGUGGAGCUUAAAAACCAGACACACCUAAUAUGUUUUCUUGGUUUUUUAGUUGGGGCGACUUCGGAGUAAAAAAAACCCUCCAAAACGUGACCACUCCCUUAUUAAGAUAAACACAUCAAAACAACUACACAAGACCCAGCAAUAAAAUAUUGUCUGAUCAACGAACCAAGUUACCCCAGGGAUAACAGCGCUAUCCCCUUUUAGAGUCCCUAUCGACAAGGGGGUUUACGACCUCGAUGUUGGAUCAGGACAUCCUAAUGGUGCAGCUGCCAUUAAGGGUUCGUUUGUUCAACGAUUAAAGUCCUA